RNAcentral lists this ribosomal RNA (462 nucleotides) under uncultured bacterium. RNAcentral's name for it is "partial 16S ribosomal RNA". It matches the Rfam family "Bacterial small subunit ribosomal RNA", at positions 29 to 507 of the family's 1533-position model. The record is from RNAcentral.
AGUGAACGCUGGCGGCGUGCCUAAUACAUGCAAGUCGAACGGAGAUUAAGUAGCUUGCUAUUUAAUCUUAGUGGCGCACGGGUGAGUAAUAUAUAGCUAACUUGCCCAUUACUAAGGGACAACAGUUGGAAACGACUGCUAAUACCUUAUACUCCGUAUCUAUAUAAGUAGAUACGGGAAAGUUUUUCGGUAAUGGAUAGGGCUAUAUCGUAUCAGCUAGUUGGUAAGGUAAUGGCUUACCAAGGCUAUGACGCGUAACUGGUCUGAGAGGAUGAUCAGUCACACUGGAACUGAGACACGGUCCAGACUCCUACGGGAGGCAGCAGUAGGGAAUAUUGCUCAAUGGGGGAAACCCUGAAGCAGCAACGCCGCGUGGAGGAUGACACUUUGCGGAGCGUAAACUCCUUUUCUUGGGAAAGAAUUAUGACGGUACCCAAGGAAUAAGCACCGGCUAACUCCGUG